This 115-nucleotide transfer RNA is filed under the name Thermothelomyces thermophilus ATCC 42464. Its description in RNAcentral is "Myceliophthora thermophila ATCC 42464 tRNA". It matches the Rfam family "tRNA". Rfam says of the family: Transfer RNA (tRNA) molecules are approximately 80 nucleotides in length. The record is from Rfam by way of RNAcentral. Lineage: Eukaryota; Fungi; Ascomycota; Sordariomycetes; Sordariales; Chaetomiaceae.
GGCAAGGUGGCCGAGCGGUCCAAGGCGCCACGUUAAGGUCUACCCUUAAUCAUCUUCUCUCUCUUGAGAAUCCGUGGUCUCGAAAGGGGCGUGAGUUCGAAUCUCACCCUUGUCA